GUAAAUUCAUUGAUGGAACUGACUCUUUUCGUGAUUCAAGAUUCAAAUUGAUUCCAAGCAUUAGAGAGGGAUACUGGAUGGUUAAGCGUGCCGUUGGAACUAAAGCUUGCCUUCUGGGGAAGGCAGUAACGUGCAAGUACCUUCGACAAGAUAACUUUCUUGAGAUUGAUGUGGACAUCGGCUCUUCAUCUGUGGCAAGAGGUGUUAUUGGUCUUGUACUGGGCUAUGUGACAAGCCUUGUCGUUGAUCUUGCUAUUCUAGUUGAGGCAAAAGAAGAGGCUGAACUCCCUGAAUACAUUCUUGGAACUGUUAGAUUAAAUCGCGUAAAGGUCGAUUCUGCUGUACCAUUGGAGGGUUGAUGAGUCUUUUGUUAGUAAGUGUCAUUAAUCGCCUUUGAAAUCGAAUA
RNAcentral lists this unclassified non-coding RNA (406 nucleotides) under Hevea brasiliensis (rubber tree). Lineage: Eukaryota; Viridiplantae; Streptophyta; Magnoliopsida; Malpighiales; Euphorbiaceae. The record is from RNAcentral.